ACUGGAUUAUGUCAAUGCUUAUCUAAUGGAGCUGCAAAAUAUAAUUAGUCAUGUUCAAAAAAAGAGCUCGCCGUUUGACUGAAACUUCCAUUCAAUCAAAGAAAAGAUCAAAACGUGGAAACUUCAAUCGACCACUGAAAUGAUCCACCAUGUAUGUGAUUCAGUUGUUGUGACAUGGAAACCUACCAGAUAAGCUGCAUUAUUAUUUCCAGAUAAUGUUUCAGUACUGUGAAUUCUUCCCAAAAUGGACUUCAUGUUGCUACAAAAUGUUUUAGCAAGCUAAAUCGUAGCUCCUACAAAAAUUCAAUAUGCCGUUUCUCAAGUACCGACUUAGACUUCAAAAAGAAGAAAGCAAAUUUUUAAUCGAAAUGCAAAUGAACAGAAAUCUAUAAAGAAGAACUUAAGUAAUACACUCAAACUAAUGAAGAAAUGGAAAAGUGAACACGUUCAGGAAAUUUUAUUAAAAGGUGAAUAU
Argiope bruennichi is the source of this 475-nucleotide long non-coding RNA. RefSeq lists it as uncharacterized. The record is from RefSeq and is a predicted model, not a curated record. NCBI's taxonomy places the organism in Eukaryota, Metazoa, Arthropoda, Arachnida, Araneae, Araneidae. The transcript is spliced from 3 exons.